UAGUUUUAAUAUAAUAUGCUAAGGGCCUGUUUCACCACUUACUUAUAAGCGCCGGAUAUGCUAUCCACAACUUGUCUGCAAGAUAGAGUAUAGAGUAUCUGUCAGAUAAGUUGUGGAUAGCCUAUC
Aricia agestis (brown argus) is the source of this 126-nucleotide long non-coding RNA. RefSeq lists it as uncharacterized. The record is from RefSeq and is a predicted model, not a curated record. The transcript has 3 exons. Lineage: Eukaryota; Metazoa; Arthropoda; Insecta; Lepidoptera; Lycaenidae.